GUAACUCAGCAACAGAAAAACAGAAUGCCCUGAUGUCCCACGCCCAGCCCGAGGUCUAAAGUCAGAUGACCAAACACCCAGGACUCGCCACUGGACCCUGAGAUGGUUGUCAGGCGCAAGAAUUUUCUUCACUCAGGAAUGUGAAGCCACAAAGGACAGAGAAAGAAAAUGGGAGCUGGCUGCUUCUCAGCGUUCAGUCACGUCUCAGCAAGUUGGGCGUGGGCACCAGGCACGGGCACCAGGGCUCAGGCACCAGGCACGGGCACCAGGCGUGGGCACCAGGCGCGGGCACCAGGCGCAGGCACCAGGCACGGGCACCAGGCACGGGCACCAGGGCUCAGGCACCAGGCACGGGCACCAGGCGUGGGCAACAGGCGCGGGCACCAGGGCAUGGGUGCGCUGUUCUGAGUGAGCUCUUUGGAUGGACCAAGUACAGAGUCCCCAGCUGCCCCUAGCUCCUUCCUCAGGAGCAGGAACAUUCUGGAAGGACCUGUCCCAUUCGCUAUGCCCAGCGCUGCCCAGAUGUGACGGCCACCGCCAGCUUCUGUCCUCGAGGGUGUAGCUGAAGGCGGACACACAGGAACCUCGUGAGACCCCGGACACGCCCGCAUGAAGAGGAGGCCGGAGCGAGUCCAAGGCUGAGAACACGCAGCUGCCCAGGGGCCCCGAGGCAGACCCGGGCUCCGGAGGUGAGUGUGCUGCCCUGAGGGCGCGGCUGUUCCCUCCCGCCCAGAGGCGGCAGCGGCUGGGCCUGGUGUUUCCUGGGGGCAGCCAGCGGAGGGGGCUCUGAGGUCCAGCAGGGCGGGGUGAGCCCCGCUGUCUGCCCGAGGGGCGUGGGCGCCGCCUGCAGGCCGGAUAGCGCAGUGCAGGUACCGGGCGCCCAGGGCGGUGGAAGCAGCAAUUCAAGUCCAGCCCCCAGGCCGGAGCCAGAACAUGCUGGCGGCGCAGCAACGGACGUGACACCAUAAACCAUCUUUCAAAAUGUCUCUUUCAGGGAGCACCUUCUGGCACGUGGUCACAUUCUUGUUUUCCUGGUGGGGAGCCCCAAGCGCACCAUCCCCUCAGGCCCUGGGGAACAGCAGAGACGCGGGUCCCGGCCCCGAGCCGGCAGCCCUGCUCUCCCUGAGCCCGGCAGAGGACACGCUUCACAAAAGAAAUGGAAUGAGUUGUUAUUGGCGGGGCCAAGAUGAGUUAUGUCUUGAAGUCUGCUUUAUAAAUAAAC
This is a long non-coding RNA of Sorex araneus (European shrew), 1222 nucleotides long. RefSeq lists it as uncharacterized. The record is from RefSeq and is a predicted model, not a curated record. The transcript has 3 exons. Lineage: Eukaryota; Metazoa; Chordata; Mammalia; Eulipotyphla; Soricidae.